AAAAAAAACACAUAUAAGAAUCUGAAUCCGAUAUUUGCAGCCUGAUUUAUCUCUGUUGCUGUUCCACAAACAGGCUAUGUUAUUUCUACUCUCAAGUCUACAUGCCUUUAAUCACUUUAGGUUCUUAACCCAUAGUGCUCUUUCUUUGCUCAGCUUAUGGGUAUGAGGAGAAAAACCAAGGUCCAUAUGUCUCCUCCCCACCAUAUUCUAUCUCUGAAUCAUUCUGCAGUGUAAUAAUGGCUAACAUUUUUGACUCUCAUUGUCAGAUAGUGUUCUAAAAGCUUUGCAUAUUUUGAAUAUUUUAAUCCUCAUAAAAGCCUGUGAGGUAGCUGCUACUCUGAAUACCCUUUUGCAAGCAAAGGAAAUUGAAAUGCAAAAUAAAUGACCUGCCCAAAAUUACACUGCUAAUGUUGUUAUUAUCACACAUUCUGUUGAAUGGGGAGAUAUCACAUAUACAUCAUCCAAGGGUAAGUUACUUUUCAAAAAAUAAAUUACUAAAAUUCUAACUUGAUUUUGAUAGUUAUGAGUAAUGAUUAAGUAACAUUUAAACAUGAGCAAAUGCAAAAGAUCAUAGUUCUGGGUGGAGAGAAUAGAGGCUAAUAUUUACUGAGUGCUGCUACAUGCUUAAAGCACUAAGUGCUUUCUAUGUGUUAACUUGUAUAAUCAUAAAUACUACAACAACAUUUCAAGACAAAUCCUAUUGUUAUUUUCAUUCCACAGUUGAACUAUUUCAGGCACAGAAAAGUGAGGUAAAAUUUCCACACUGAUGUCCAACAAGUCAUUUCAGAACUAGCAUGUGAAUCCAAGCAGCAUUCCAUAUUUACAUCCUUUACCCUGUACUCUAUGCCCACCUCCCCAGAUAUAACAAUAAAAUAUCUACACAAAUCAGUGUAGGCCAGGUUAUGCUGCAGAAAAAAACAAUUCCCAAAUAAUAUUAGUGACGUUUGACAUCAAAUAUUUUUUUCUUGCUUAUGCUAUGUAACUGUUGCUAGCUGAUGAGCAAGACUCUUCCAUAUUCCCUCACUCUAAAACUCAGACUGAUGUGGUAGUAUUCAUCUUUUAUGUUGGAGUCUCUGGGAGAGAGAAUGCCACAUAUUAUCUUACAAUUCCACAGGUGACACAUUAUUCUCAUAUUUCCUUAGUGAAAACAAAAGCAAGUUAUAUGGCCAUAGGCCAUAGCUCACUAAAUUCAGGAACAAGGAGGUAAAAACUAAAUAUAUUUCCAGAAGAGGGAAAAUUUAAUAUAAAUGGAAAAGUACUGAUGUCAACUACUCCAUCUUUUUUCAGUAAUAUGAUUUGAAUUAAAAAUUCAAAAAUUAUCACUUGGUACAUAUAGUACAUUACUGAUAUAAAAAUCCUUUGAUUCCAUCAUUGUUUUUUGGGAAAAAUCAAAAAUUUUAACUUAUAAACAAAUACUCUUCUUAAAAUAUUAUGCGUACAUAAAGUUAACUCUACUUUUGAUGUAUGAUGUAAGCAUGUUACUUAGAACAUUUUUUACAGAUUAUGUUUCAGUUGCUCACCCAGAUUUACAAAUAUUUCUACUUUUUGAUUGCUUAUACUCAACAGACCAUCUAUUGAGUUGUACAGAAUUUAGUAGUAUUACCAUGGUCCUAUUCCAACUUAUUGUAUUUUAAAAUAAAUGAUCAUACUACAUGAUAUGUUAUCUAAGCAUCAUUAUUAUGCUUGCCAGAAUAAUUCACAGUAACAAUGCUAUUCCAGCAAACUUUUUUAGUUAUUUACUUUCUAACAACCUUAUCAUUAAGCAAAAUUUUCCUCUGCAAAUAUCUCAAGACUUCAAGUGCCAAGUAGCUCAUGAACAAAAAUGACUUUCUUGUUCCCAAGCUAUAUGCUUUAUUAGAUCCAAAAUAAUUUGCAUCAACUGAGAGAAAUAGUUAUGAUUUUUUCUUCCUAAAUAAUUUAAUAUAAAAGACUUCCCACAUUACCUCCUAAAUCAUGUAUUACAUUUUUGACCUUUAUGAUAUAAACAUACUGAAACCUUCAAUUCCUGCCUUACAGGAUUUACAUUUUUACUUAAUGAGAAAAUUUUCUAUUGGAAUUUUAAUUCUUAUUUAUUUAUUUUUGUGGUAAUGAGGACUGAACCCAAGGGUCCUCUACCACUAAGCUGUAUCCCCAGAAUUUUUUUAUUUUUUGAGACAGGAUCUUGCUAAGCUGCUGAGGAUGUUUUAGUCAGCAUUUUCACUGCUGUGACUAAAUGAUCUGACCAGAAUAAUUUUAGGGAAUAAAAGUUUAUUUGAGGGCUCACAGUUUCAGGAAUCUCCAUUCAUAGAACGCCUGGAGAUGAAGCUGAAGAUCAUGGCGGAAGAGUGAGGCAGAGGGAGGCUGCUCACAUGAUGAUCAGUAAGCAGAGAGAGAGACUCUACUUUCCAGACACAAAAUAUAUACCCCAUAGUCAUGCCCCACAAUGAACCAUGUUCUUCAGCCACACCCCAUCUGCCUCCAGUUUCCAUUCAGUUAUUUCCAUGAGGGAUUAAUUCACUGAUUAGGUUAAGGCUGCAGUCCAAUAAUUUCUCCUCCAAACCUUCUUGCAUUGUCUCACAUGUGAGCUUUUGGGGGAUACCUCACAUCCAAAACAUAACAGAAAGUCUCACUAAGUUCCUGAGGUCAGCCUUGAACUUGAGUUCCUCCUGUCUCAGCCUUCUGAGUACCUGAGAUUACAUUAAGAAUUAAAAUUUCACCAGGCAGGUUGGAGCAUGCCUGGCAGAAUUUUAAUUCUUAAAAAACAUCUUUUAGCAUGCCUUUUUUCAUGUUUAAUGUAAAGUGGAAUCUGUGUAUUAUUUGCUUCCUAUUUGGUGAUUCCUACUAGACUAAUUAAUUCAACUAUUUUCACUGUAAGUAAAAUAAAUAGUUAAAUAUUCUGAAUGAAGAUGUGGUUAGCAUCACCCUAAAGUUUAUUCAUUUUACUCUACCUUGCAUGUGUGUGUCUAUAUAUCCAUACACUAUAUGGAUAAAAUUGGUGUUCUCAUUUUUUGAUUCAUUUUUUUUCAACUUCAUGUUCAAAUAUAGAAAACAAUUGUGUCAAAUGGGAUAAAGACAUUAAUCAGAUUGUUAGAAAUACACAUUUUAAAUUGUUGUCAAUAUUUUGUUUCUAUUUAUACUUCUUUAUGUCACACAGGGUAAAAUAAAGAUUCACAAAUACAAGAAAUAUUAUGAGCCUAUGUGUUAUCACAGUUUCAAAUCUUGUCAUUUGAAUUUUAAAAUAAAUCCACCAAUUAAAAGAAUAUUAAUUCCUACCAUUUGGCAAUAAUUAACAUGUAAAGUCUUAAAAUAUAGAUUCUGGC
RNAcentral lists this long non-coding RNA (3299 nucleotides) under Marmota monax (woodchuck). The record is from RNAcentral. Lineage: Eukaryota; Metazoa; Chordata; Mammalia; Rodentia; Sciuridae.